Dipodomys ordii (Ord's kangaroo rat) is the source of this 297-nucleotide long non-coding RNA. RefSeq lists it as uncharacterized. NCBI's taxonomy places the organism in Eukaryota, Metazoa, Chordata, Mammalia, Rodentia, Heteromyidae. The transcript is spliced from 3 exons. The record is from RefSeq and is a predicted model, not a curated record.
GGUGUAAGGGCUCAGGACAAAGCAGAGGAUGAAGAGAGAGAGGAGGCCAGCACACUAACUGUUGUCUCUUUUUCCUUCUUCCUUACUGGGCUAGUGUCUGACGCUACAUACAGAUAUAGAGAAUCUCAAGGAACGAGUAGAGGCCAUUCAGUCCCUCACUGAGAAGUUCCAGUCGCUGGGAGAAUGAACACACCAUCUUCAAGAGAUACAGCUAGUACCUGUAGUCCAGAGUUGUCACCCACCUUCUUCAGUUGAGUUCUUCUUCAUCCAGUUUGUCCUUUUGACCCCUUGUUUAAG